UAACCUGCCCAUCAGAAGGGGAUAACACUUGGAAACAGGUGCUAAUACCGUAUAACACUAUUUUCCGCAUGGAAGAAAGUUGAAAGGCGCUUUUGCGUCACUGAUGGAUGGACCCGCGGUGCAUUAGCUAGUUGGUGAGGUAACGGCUCACCAAGGCAACGAUGCAUAGCCGACCUGAGAGGGUGAUCGGCCACACUGGGACUGAGACACGGCCCAGACUCCUACGGGAGGCAGCAGUAGGGAAUCUUCGGCAAUGGACGAAAGUCUGACCGAGCAACGCCGCGUGAGUGAAGAAGGUUUUCGGAUCGUAAAACUCUGUUGUUAGAGAAGAACAAGGAUGAGAGUAAAAUGUUCAUCCCUUGACGGUAUCUAACCAGAAAGCCACGGCUAACUACGUGCCAGCAGCCGCGGUAAUACGUAGGUGGCAAGCGUUGUCCGGAUUUAUUGGGCGUAAAGCGAGCGCAGGCGGUUUCUUAAGUCUGAUGUGAA
RNAcentral lists this ribosomal RNA (489 nucleotides) under Enterococcus gallinarum. RNAcentral's name for it is "bacterial SSU rRNA". It matches the Rfam family "Bacterial small subunit ribosomal RNA", at positions 122 to 598 of the family's 1533-position model. The record is from RNAcentral. Lineage: Bacteria; Bacillati; Bacillota; Bacilli; Lactobacillales; Enterococcaceae.